RNAcentral lists this ribosomal RNA (497 nucleotides) under uncultured bacterium. RNAcentral's name for it is "partial 16S ribosomal RNA". It matches the Rfam family "Bacterial small subunit ribosomal RNA", at positions 28 to 507 of the family's 1533-position model. The record is from RNAcentral.
GAUGAACGCUGGCGGCGUGCCUAAUACAUGCAAGUCGAGCGAACAGACGAGGAGCUUGCUCCUCUGACGUUAGCGGCGGACGGGUGAGUAACACGUGGAUAACCUACCUAUAAGACUGGGAUAACUUCGGGAAACCGGAGCUAAUACCGGAUAACAUGUUGAACCGCAUGGUUCAACAGUGAAAGACGGUCUUGCUGUCACUUAUAGAUGGAUCCGCGCCGCAUUAGCUAGUUGGUAAGGUAACGGCUUACCAAGGCAACGAUGCGUAGCCGACCUGAGAGGGUGAUCGGCCACACUGGAACUGAGACACGGUCCAGACUCCUACGGGAGGCAGCAGUAGGGAAUCUUCCGCAAAGGGCGAAAGCCUGACGGAGCAACGCCGCGUGAGUGAAGAAGGUCUUCGGAUCGUAAAACUCCGUUAUUAGGGAAGAACAAAUGUGUAAGUAACUAUGCACGUCUUGACGGUACCUAAUCAGAAAGCCACGGCUAACUACGUG